This 72-nucleotide transfer RNA is filed under the name Marmota marmota marmota (Alpine marmot). It matches the Rfam family "tRNA". Rfam says of the family: Transfer RNA (tRNA) molecules are approximately 80 nucleotides in length. Their secondary structure includes four short double-helical elements and three loops (D, anti-codon, and T loops). The record is from Rfam by way of RNAcentral. RNAcentral also lists the same sequence under 1 other name. Lineage: Eukaryota; Metazoa; Chordata; Mammalia; Rodentia; Sciuridae.
UGGAGUGCAGCUCAGGGGUAGAGCGCAUGCCCAGCAUAUGUGAAGCCCUGGGUACAAUUCCCAGCACAACAA